This 429-nucleotide ribosomal RNA is filed under the name uncultured archaeon. RNAcentral's name for it is "bacterial SSU rRNA". It matches the Rfam family "Archaeal small subunit ribosomal RNA", at positions 474 to 903 of the family's 1478-position model. The record is from RNAcentral.
UACCAGCUCUUCGAGUGGUAACCGCUAUUAUUGGGCCUAAAGCGUCCGUAGCCGGUUUUGUAAAUAUCUGGGUAAAUCGUGAGGCUUAACUUCACGAAUUUCGGAUAGACUGCCAGACUUGGGAUCGGGGGAGGUCAGAGGUACUCCAGGGGUAGCGGUGAAAUGUUGUAAUCCUUGGAGGACCACCGGUAGCGAAGGCGUCUGACUAGAACGAGUCCGACGGUGAGGGACGAAGCCCUGGGGCGCAAACCGGAUUAGAUACCCGGGUAGUCCAGGGUGUAAACGAUGUGGGCUUUGUAUUGGAGGUCCCACGUGGGCGUCCAGUGCAGAAGAGAAGUUGUUAAGCCCACCGCCUGGGAAGUACGGUCGCAAGGCUGAAACUUAAAGGAAUUGGCGGGGGAGCACAGCAACGGGAGGAGCGUGCGGUUU